This 389-nucleotide ribosomal RNA is filed under the name uncultured bacterium. Its description in RNAcentral is "bacterial SSU rRNA". It matches the Rfam family "Bacterial small subunit ribosomal RNA", at positions 28 to 430 of the family's 1533-position model. The record is from RNAcentral.
AACGAACGCUGGCGGCAGGCUUAACACAUGCAAGUCGAACGGGUGUAGCAAUACACCAGUGGCAGACGGGUGAGUAACACGUGGGUGACCUGCCCUCAGCUCUGGGAUAAGCCCGGGAAACUGGGUCUAAUACUGGAUAUUACUCUGCGGUGCAUGCCGUGGGGUGGAAAGCCUUGUGCGGCUGGGGAUGGGCCCGCGGCCUAUCAGCUUGUUGGUGGGGUGAUGGCCUACCAAGGCGACGACGGGUAGCCGGCCUGAGAGGGCGACCGGCCACACUGGGACUGAGACACGGCCCAGACUCCUACGGGAGGCAGCAGUGGGGAAUCUUGCGCAAUGGGCGAAAGCCUGACGCAGCGACGCCGCGUGAGGGAUGACGGCCUGGUGUAACU